This 488-nucleotide ribosomal RNA is filed under the name uncultured bacterium. RNAcentral describes it as "partial 16S ribosomal RNA". It matches the Rfam family "Bacterial small subunit ribosomal RNA", at positions 28 to 507 of the family's 1533-position model. The record is from RNAcentral.
GACGAACGCUGGCGGCGUGCUUAACACAUGCAAGUCGAACGAAAAUACCAAGCUUGCUUGGUUGAUUAGUGGCGAACGGGUGAGUAACACGUGAGUAACCUGCCCCUUACUUUCCUGGAUAACUGCUCGAAAGGGUAGCUAAUACGGGAUAUUCUGACCAGCCUGCAUGGGUUGGUUUGGAAAGGUUGUUUUUCUGGUAAGGGAUGGGCUCGCGGCCUAUCAGCUUGUUGGUGGGGUGAUGGCCUACCAAGGCUUUGACGGGUAGCCGGCCUGAGAGGGUGGACGGUGACACGGGGACUGGGAUACGGCCGAGAGUCCUACGGGAGGCAGCAGUGGGGGAUAUAGCACAAUGGGCGCAAGCAUGAUGCAGCGACGCCGCGUGAGGGAUGGAGGCCUUCGGGAUGUAGACCUCUUUCGUCAGGGAACAAGGCACUGCUUUUUUGGUGGGGUUGAGGGUACCGGGAUAAGAAGCGCCGGCUAACUACGUG